CAUCAUCAGCCACUGGCCACUUUGCCUGUGCAUUACCGGGUUCACCUCAACCACCUUGAAACGUUCUGCGCCGCCCCGUAACUGGUAGGUGUCUGUGGCCCCGUGCUCUGCGUAUUUGUUGUCGACUGCGUGAACGCAAGGACUGAAGAUGAACGGCGCGCUACGAAAGGCCACCAGCGUUUUUCGAAGCGCUGUAAUGCAGACCCGUUCAACGUCGGUGAAUUCGUACUCGGUCUCGCUGCCGAAAGGCUUCAAGAUGUCGGCCCCCGAAAAGGUGGUUCACAUCGCUGUGAUCGUAUCCACAAUUUUCGCUUACCCAGUUUGGGUCCUUACUCACCUCAGGGAGUACAGAGGAAUCAAGGAUUAACAUGUAGUUCCGAAGACUUGCACCAUGCUGGCGUCCACGGGAAACCUGUGCACAAGUCACCACACGAACCAUUAGCUAACAGAAUACAAUAAAAUGUGUUCGAAUACACAUGCACCAAUUA
Long non-coding RNA from Rhipicephalus microplus (southern cattle tick), 488 nucleotides. RefSeq lists it as uncharacterized. The record is from RefSeq and is a predicted model, not a curated record. Lineage: Eukaryota; Metazoa; Arthropoda; Arachnida; Ixodida; Ixodidae.